GACGAACGCUGGCGGCGUGCCUAAUACAUGCAAGUAGAACGCUGAAGAGAGGAGCUUGCUCUUCUUGGAUGAGUUGCGAACGGGUGAGUAACGCGUAGGUAACCUGCCUUGUAGCGGGGGAUAACUAUUGGAAACGAUAGCUAAUACCGCAUAACAAUGGAUGACACAUGUCAUUUAUUUGAAAGGGGCAAUUGCUCCACUACAAGAUGGACCUGCGUUGUAUUAGCUAGUAGGUGAGGUAACGGCUCACCUAGGCGACGAUACAUAGCCGACCUGAGAGGGUGAUCGGCCACCCUGGGACUGAGACACGGCCCAGACGCCUACGGGAGGCAGCAGUAGGGAAUCUUCGGCAAUGGGGGCAACCCUGACCGAGCAACGCCGCGUGAGUGAAGAAGGUUUUCGGAUCGUAAAGCUCUGUUGUAAGUCAAGAACGAGUGUGAGAGUGGAAAGUUCACACUGUGACGGUAGCUUACCAGAAAGGGACGGCUAACUACGUG
RNAcentral lists this ribosomal RNA (497 nucleotides) under uncultured bacterium. RNAcentral describes it as "partial 16S ribosomal RNA". It matches the Rfam family "Bacterial small subunit ribosomal RNA", at positions 28 to 507 of the family's 1533-position model. The record is from RNAcentral.